RNAcentral lists this transfer RNA (71 nucleotides) under Ovis aries (sheep). It matches the Rfam family "tRNA". From Rfam's summary of the family: Transfer RNA (tRNA) molecules are approximately 80 nucleotides in length. Their secondary structure includes four short double-helical elements and three loops (D, anti-codon, and T loops). Lineage: Eukaryota; Metazoa; Chordata; Mammalia; Artiodactyla; Bovidae. The record is from Rfam by way of RNAcentral.
CCCUGGUAGCUUAGUCAGUAAAGAAUCUGCCUGCCGUGCAGGAGACCUGGGUUCGAUCCCUGGGUCAGGGA